CCCUCCCCCCCCCCAGCAGAGAGACCCCAGCAGCAGCAGCAGCUGAUGAUGAAGAGAGAGGCAGUGGCAGAGGGGGGGCACCUUUUAUUUCUAUUUUUAAAGGGACAGGACACUAAUUUUACCCCACUUCAACCUUGAAUUGAGGGGGGUGGGGGGAAGGCGGCUGAGUUCCUUCCCCCACCCUCCAGCCCUGAGACCUGAGAGGGAGAUUGAGCCUGAGAGAGAAGGAGUUUCUUCUUCUUCGAAAACCCCCAUCCACGACUCCUACCCCCUCACCCCUCCACUAGCCUCCCUCCCGAGCCCCCUCCACCCUCCUCCUCUUUGGCCGUGAGAGGAGGAGAGAAAGAGACCAAAAGCCUCUUAGCAACACAGACCCUUCUCUGCUGCUGCUGCUGCUGCUGCUGCUGCUGCUACUGCUGCUGCUGCUGCUUGGCCCUGGCUGGAGACAUCUCACUACACCCAGGAGCAGCCACUUCCCCAGCUCUCCUCCUCCUUCGCCUCCUCCUCCUCCUCCACUCCCCCCCCCCUUUAUUACCCUUUGUGUCAUCCUCCACAGCUCCAGGGAAGGCACUCAAAAGUGGGGGGCAGGAAAGACACUUAUCAACUUUCCAGUUUUCUAUGGAUAUGAAGAUUUACUCCUAGUCAUCAGUGGGACCCCAUGAAGUCAGCCAGAAAGCCUAUGUCCAACUUAUGUACCUUUGCAAACUUGUCUGGAUUUUGAAUGUAUGUGCAAAACAGAUUGUAUUUAGGUAUUCAUUAAACAUCUUUUGAGCAUC
This is a long non-coding RNA of Suricata suricatta (meerkat), 776 nucleotides long. RefSeq lists it as uncharacterized. NCBI's taxonomy places the organism in Eukaryota, Metazoa, Chordata, Mammalia, Carnivora, Herpestidae. The transcript has 2 exons. The record is from RefSeq and is a predicted model, not a curated record.